CCUACGGGAGGCAGCAGUGGGGAAUUUUGGACAAUGGGCGCAAGCCUGAUCCAGCCAUGCCGCGUGCAGGAUGAAGGCCUUCGGGUUGUAAACUGCUUUUGUACGGAACGAAAAGACUCUGGUUAAUACCUGGGGUCCAUGACGGUACCGUAAGAAUAAGCACCGGCUAACUACGUGCCAGCAGCCGCGGUAAUACGUAGGGUGCGAGCGUUAAUCGGAAUUACUGGGCGUAAAGCGUGCGCAGGCGGUUAUAUAAGACAGAUGUGAAAUCCCCGGGCUCAACCUGGGAACUGCAUUUGUGACUGUAUAGCUAGAGUACGGCAGAGGGGGAUGGAAUUCCGCGUGUAGCAGUGAAAUGCGUAGAUAUGCGGAGGAACACCGAUGGCGAAGGCAAUCCCCUGGGCCUGUACUGACGCUCAUGCACGAAAGCGUGGGGAGCAAACAGGAUUAGAUACCCUGGUAGUCCACGCCCUAAACGAUGUCAACUGGUUGUUGGGUCUUCACUGACUCAGUAACGAAGCUAACGCGUGAAGUUGACCGCCUGGGGNGGACGGCCGCGAGUAGUAACGUACGAAGAAGUUAGUACGGCGUGAGACGUAGCCGACGGACGACGACGAGGGAGGAGG
This 626-nucleotide ribosomal RNA is filed under the name uncultured bacterium. Its description in RNAcentral is "bacterial SSU rRNA". The stretch from base 1 to 542 matches the Rfam family "Bacterial small subunit ribosomal RNA", at positions 338 to 873 of the family's 1533-position model. The record is from RNAcentral.